Molecule: long non-coding RNA, 373 nt
Organism: Cydia pomonella (codling moth)
Lineage: Eukaryota; Metazoa; Arthropoda; Insecta; Lepidoptera; Tortricidae
Exons: 2
Source: RefSeq, a predicted model, not a curated record
GUUGUUUAUCGUUCAUCAUCGUCUCCUACCCGUUUUCGGCCACAGCAACUGCUUUCUACCGCUGAGAGUGUCGCGGGUGCGCUCUCAGGUGACUGACGUAGCCAAUCUUAGCAGCGGAUGUGCGGCCACACUCGCUGCAGCUGCCUCUUGGCUGCUCUCCUCACUCGCUCCUCUUUCUCCUGCUCCUCGCGGCAGCGGUGGAAGUUCUCCACGACCACUCCCACAAACAUGUUCAGCACGAAGAACCCCACAAGCAGUAUGAACGCGAUGAAGUACAGGAGACGCCAUUCAGAGUAGUUCACUAUUGGCUGUUUGCAAGGGAUUCAAUGUAUGACUUGUUUUUAAAAUUUUAAAUAAAGCUUUAUCAAUAAAA